Sarcophilus harrisii (Tasmanian devil) is the source of this 2424-nucleotide long non-coding RNA. RefSeq lists it as uncharacterized. Lineage: Eukaryota; Metazoa; Chordata; Mammalia; Dasyuromorphia; Dasyuridae. The record is from RefSeq and is a predicted model, not a curated record. The transcript has 3 exons.
CCUCCCUCCGGUCAGUGUAGACCUGCCUCCCUCAGGUCAGUGUAGACCCGCCUUCCUGGGCAGGAAGCAGAGAUGGUGCAGGAUCUCCCCUCAUGGCCCCUGCCAUCUGCUGCCCAUGUGACUCCAGCUCCAUUCUCCCCCAGUGGAGCAGCCACCCCCUCGUCUCCGGCUUUGGACAGUUUGCCAAGAGCAUCACGGGAUCUUCAUUACCUCAUUUAAUCCCUUCAACAGAGCCGUGAGGUGGGUGCUAUUAUUAUUAUUAGCCCAUUUUACAGACAAGGAAACUGAGACUGGAAAGAGAGCAAGGGAUGUCCUUGGAACCAUGUGUCCAUCUCCCCUGGAGGAUUCCGAGGCGCUGUGCCCAGAAGGUGCCUCUGAAAUCACCCUGUCCUCUUACUUUACAGCUGAGGAAACUGAGGCCGGCCAAGCCUGUGUGUCCUCCUGCUGCCAUGGAGACCCCACGAAACUGACGCAGUGAGGGUCUCUGGACAUCCUGGCCGGGGUCCGAUGAGCCCCUGACUCCUUCCAGGUCAGAGAGCCGAGGCUGGCCCGGGCGUCCCAGGCUGCCUGGAUCCUUCCCUGCCGGCCCUGCCGGCCUCACGGCCUGGCCCCCUGCCUGGCUCCUAGAGAUCCCCAGGGGGCAGGAAGUGUGGCCAACAGGGCCUGGGGCUCGGCCCGCGCCCCUCCCUGAAGGCAGCGGUCAUGAGACUUUGGAGAAGGCGCUUGAGUUUCCUGACAAAUGUGCUAAGUGUCAUUUCCUGCUCCACCAACGAGCCAGGCCUCUUGGACAGCUGCUGCUGCCUCCUCCGGAGCCGAGGCUGGGGCCAGGGGCUGGGGGAGGCCAGUGCCUCGAGAUUUCUGGACUAAGAAACCCUCUCUUCAAGGAGGCUAAAAAUUGAUCAAGCAGGGCAAGCCGACUGCUCGUUGAUGUUUGCCGAGACAACAACAAUCACAGAGCUUCCGCAGCCGCACACGUUUGGAGGCCUUAUGAACGAUUUCCUGUUUGGCCCUGGGUAGGUGGAGGCCUAGGGGGACUGCAGGGAGAAGGAAAGGGAAGGAAGACAUCCCAUGAGGUAAGAGGAGACCAUAGGGAGGCUGACCACAGUGAAAGCUAGAAGGCCCGGCAACCAGCCCGGCUCCGGCCCAGCUCCAGCACACAUGUAUGAUUCCAGGCAAGUGCUUGCCUUCUCGGUGCCUCAGUUUCCUUAUCUGUAAAAUGAGGGUGAGACUACCGCCUUGCCCACUGUGCAUGCCCAGUGCGGUGGCAAGGCUUAAUUGAGUAUGAAAAAUGCUAUAGACCUUCCUAUGUACAAGUUUUUAGUAAUAACUGGCAUUUGUUUGAAUAUAGAGAUACUAUUAAAUUAUUAAUUAUAUUAAUUAUUAUCAUUAAUUAAUUAUUAAGUACUCAGAACCAUCUAACCAUAGUGUAGGGGCUCCCUAACAAUGGACAAACUCCUGAGUGACAGGAGCAGUGAUCUCAAGCUGGGAGAAAUCUCGAAGGACAAUCUAGUACAAUUUUGCCAUUUCACAGAUGAGAAAACUAAUGCCUGAGGGAGUUAUUGAUUUGCCCAGGAUCAGUAUUCGAGGAGGGAUUUAAACCCAGGGGCUCUGACUUCUGAGUGAGAGCUCUUCCCAUUGGAUCACACUGCCUCCGUCACCUAGACAUUUAAAAUCCCUCAUAGACCAGCUGCAACCAAGCUGCCCAGACCCAUUUUACAUCCCAUUCUGCCUUGCAACUAAACUGGCCGACUUGCCUCUUCCUUCGCUAACUAGCCCGUCUCCCACCUCUGUGCCUUUGCCCCGGCUGUUCCUCAUGCCUGGAAUGCAUUUCCUCUUCCACUCAGACUCUUGGAAACUGGGAGCUCCCUUCAAGGCCCAACUUAGCUGCCACCUCCUAGGGGAAGCCCUUCUGACACCUGGAAGGGUUAGUUUGGACUUCUUCCUUGAAUUAGCUCCUGUUAUUUUUCUGUUUACUUAUACCUUCAGAAGAAGGAAAGUUCCUUGAGGACAAGAGCUGUUUAGCAUUUUUAACUUAGUAUUCCCCUCUUCUAAUUCAAUGUCUGAUGGGGAGGGCAGUGGGAGUAAGGGGAUAUUUUUGUGAGUUACAGAGUACACAGUAAGCACAACAGUGUUGUAGGAAACAAUGGCAAAAGAAAUUGAAAGCUGGGCAAUUAAUGAUAAUGAGCAAACUUAGCUGGAAGAGACAGAUGCAACAAUGUAUUUUUUCCUCUCUUUGCCAGGCAAACACUGAUCGAUACUGUUGCCGGAACACUACAUAAUUAUACUGGUGGGAACACUCACCUGGAUGGGUGUGAACACUCUGUGAACGGAUGUCUAUAUAAUCUGGCAGGAGCCCUGCACAGCUUCACGUAAUGGUGUGAACAAAGCAUAUGUUAUAUAUAAAUAUAUAGCAUGUAUUCACAA